This 2685-nucleotide unclassified non-coding RNA is filed under the name Leishmania donovani. RNAcentral describes it as "gene:LdHU3.33.0440(CDS-product:ATP-binding_casset te_sub-family_F_member_1_putative)". The record is from RNAcentral. Lineage: Eukaryota; Euglenozoa; Kinetoplastea; Trypanosomatida; Trypanosomatidae.
CCGAUCUCCUUUUCCUUCCACCUGACCCCGUCCGCCAUAAGAUUUCGGUUUGGACUAGUUACGGUCCCGGAGGGGGAGCUAUGCGAGGGAGUGCAUAACGCGGCACGCCCCGCCAAAAUACGCGCACAUUUACUCGACCCGCUCAUUGUAAAGUUCGAUCUCUCACUUUUUUCUUGUCUACCAUGGAAGGCGCGUCGCACGAGGCUGCCGAGCACACCAGCGCCUCAGCGAUGACUCGCAAGGAGCGCAAGAAAAUGGAGAAGAGCGAGAAACAGGCAGAGGAGCUGCGUCAGCUCUCCAAGAAGGCGAAUGCCGUGAACGGCGACACCGACAACCCUUUCUCUGUAACUCUCGAGACGGACCAGAUCGCGGAGGGCUCGCGCAAUAUUACCUUCAACAAGGUCUCCGUCUCUGUAAAUGGCAAGACGCUCUUCAAAGACACCACAGUGAAGCUGUCUGCUGGUUCUCGCUAUGGUCUUAUGGGGCCAAACGGACGCGGCAAGUCCACGAUUCUGCGCUUGCUGGCGAGUCGUGAGCUGCCGGUGCAGUCGAACCUCGACUUGCUGUUGGUGGAGCAGGAGCAGGAGUUUACUGCCUCGGAGUUGAGCGCUGUCGAUGCGGUGCUGCAAAGCCACAAGAAGCAAAACGCAUGCGCCGAUGAGGCAAAGGCGCUGGGGGCCAAGGCGGAGCUCUCGGAGGCCGAGAUGGAGCGGCUGCACUUUUUGGAGGAGGAGCUCGACAUCAUGGGCGCCGCCCAGGCGGAUGCCCGUGCCCGGCGGAUUCUCUUCGGUCUUGGCUUUCCCACCGAGUGGCACGAGCGACCCACGAGCAGCUUCAGUGGUGGCUGGCGCAAGCGCAUUGCACUGGCCUCUGCCGUCUUCAUCGAGCCGGACGUGCUCAUGCUGGAUGAGCCGACGAACCACCUUGACCUGAAUGCUGUCAUUUGGCUGGAGUCCUACCUGACGAAGGCGUACAGCGAGACGGCGAGGCGACCCAAGACGUUGAUCGUUGUCUCUCACGACGCGGGCUUCCUGGAUGAGGUGUGCACGCACAUGGUUCACGUGGAGAACUACAUGCUGAAUUACUACCGUGGCAGCUACAGCAGCUUUGACGAGCAGUUGCAGCAGCGGCACCAGGAGCUAGACAAGAAGUACGAGUCGGUAGCCAAGACCAUUCGUGACAAGAAGCGCAAUGGCAUGUCGAACGCGCAGGUCGAGGUAUGGAUUAAGGAUCAGGUGAACAGCGGCCGCCUCGACCCGCUAUUCCUCGAGAAGAGGCGGGACUACACCGUCAACUUCCCCUUUCCUGAUCCGCCGGAGCUGCGCGAUGGGUGCGUGUGCAAGCUCGACAGUGUCUCCUUCAACUAUCCGGGCGGCCCCGUGUUGUUUCAGAACGUGAGCUGCGCCCUGUGGACGGACAGCCGCAUCACUCUUUGUGGUCCCAACGGUAUUGGCAAGAGUACGCUGCUGAACCUCAUGACCGGUGUGCUGGAGCCGACGGCCGGGUACAUUACGCUGAACCGCCAGGUGCGCAUUGGCCGCUACAACCAGCACUUUGUCGACAAGCUGCCGCUGGAGAAGACGCCGGUGGAGUGCAUGCAGGCGCUGGGGAUUCCGGAGGAGGACAAGGCGCGGCGGCUCCUGGGCAGCUUCGGCCUGGAGGGUAUCGUGCACAAGAACCAAAUAGCGACACUGAGUGGCGGCCAAAAGGCCCGUGUGGCGUUUGCGGCGAUCAGCGCCGAGUCCCCUCAUUUUCUCCUCUUCGAUGAGCCGACAAACCACUUGGAUGUUGAGUCGAUCGAUGCGCUCUGCACAGCCAUUCGUAACUUCAAGGGUGGCGUGCUUGUUGUCACCCACGACGCUCGCCUAAUCGAGUCGACCGAGAUGCAGAUCUGGGUCGCCGGGGACAAGAAUGUGAUGCCGUUCAACGGCUCCCUAGAUGACUACAAGAAUGUGGUGCGUGCGGAGUUCGAAAAAGAGGAGGCGAUGCGGCUGGAGGAGCGCAAGCAGCUGCUCGAGCACAAGACGGAAGCGCGUCAGCUGAAGCAGAGCGGGGUCGCGGAUGUGACGACGGCGCUGCAAGAGAAGAAAGAGAAGGAGCAGCACGAACAUGCGCAAGGCCUGGAUGCGUUUCUCACCGCUGCCGCAAAGAAGAAGAAGCCGAAAAAGGCGAAGGAGGAGAAGAGUUAGAAGCGGCAGACGGCGUUUAGGAGAGGUGGGAGGUGGGAGGUGGGAGGGGUAGAUAUGUGUGUUGACGCAUCGCAUGCUGCAACACCCCUGUGCAUCCCCUCAUCGGUGAGGUGUGUACGUGUGUCUUGCGCAUGCAGCACACUAAGCAAGCAAAGAAAAAGGUUCACUAACGUCGCUCUGCACCUCUCCCCUCCUUCGACCUCCUCCUUGCCGUUCCCCUCUCUUUUCUCCCGUCCGCCUGCAUUGGUAGGGGCGAGCACUCACAAGCGAGGGACAACAACAGGGAGUCGGUGCGAGGGGGGGGGGCAGAGCGGACGGUAGUAGUUAAAGCGCGAUUGAGUACACGGUAAAUCGAAGGAAGGAAAAGCGACGGAUUCACAGGGUGCGCACAAAGUCGACAAGCCGAGGUAAAGCACCAUGAGAGGAUGUAUGCGUGGCUUCGUGGUGUGCGACUUUGGUUUUCCUGCUUGUUGUACGAGUUGGGGCAAUGAGGGUG